This 3432-nucleotide long non-coding RNA is filed under the name Drosophila melanogaster (fruit fly). RNAcentral's name for it is "long non-coding RNA:CR46006 (Dmel_CR46006)". The stretch from base 1210 to 1296 matches the Rfam family "mir-276 microRNA precursor family". Lineage: Eukaryota; Metazoa; Arthropoda; Insecta; Diptera; Drosophilidae. The record is from RNAcentral.
AGUUGAGUUCCGGAGCUCCAAAGUCGCGCAUCAAUCGCUCGCAAACAGCAUCGUGUUUUCGCAUUCGCGUGACUUGACAGAAAUUCGUAAAAAUUGAGAAACAAUUUACAAGUGAUGAACAAAAAUAAACUUAAACUUUUAAGUUUAAUAAAACCAUCAAAUAAUACACAGUUUCGGAAAAAGAUAAUACAUUUUAAUGAAAAUCUGAAAGCAAAUAAAUUUUACAAAGUUAAUGAUUAAAAAUUAAACAAACCAAAAAACAUAAAAGACAUAAAUAAAUUCAAUUCAAAAAUUCUUCUUAAUAUCUAACUGAUAUUUAUACUACGCAGACGAAAUAAAUAAACAUUAAAUAGCUUAUUUUUGGAUGAAAUUCUUAUAUUGGAACACAAAAAGAUCAAAGUUUUCAAAAAUUUCUAAAGGGAAACUCUUGAAAUAAACUUGCUAUAAAUAUUAUAUUUUCCAUGCCUUACUGGACACAUUGGUCUAUAAAGUAAUUUAUUUUUCCUCAAAAAUAUUGUAUAUCCCUUUUUUCGAUAAAGGAAACCUAUAAUAUUUUAUUUUUCUUACUUCCUAUUUUAAAUUCUGUAGAAAAGUAAAAAGCGUAAAUACGGUUCUUAAAAUCAAAGAAAAAAGUAUAGCAUUAUUUCCUUAAAAACUUCCCAUAAAUAAAUUCUUAAACCUGAAAUAAUAUACAUAUCUAAUGAAAAAACUUUGUCCAAACUUUCCAUAGAUAUAAUUCUAAUAAAUAAUAAUAGUAAAACGCGCACAAACGCGUCCAUUUCCAGAUUAUUAAUAAUGAUUUGAAAAAUAUUUAAAUUCAAUCAAACAAAAAGUCUAUCCAGCAAAAAACGCCAACCCAAACGCCGAAAAAAAAAAACAACACUGAAAAAGCUGCCAAGCGAGAAACGACGGAGGACCAUACCAUAUAUAACCCCUAUAUAUAACCGUCGUCGUCAUCAUCAUCAUCAAGCUAGAAAUUCCCCCAGCACAAAUCCCAUGAAGAGAAUCCCAUCAGUCCGGCAACAACAACAACAACCAAGAAAUACUACAGAAUAAAACCAAAAAAAAAAAAAAAUGAAAAAAAAAAUCUGAAAAAAAGAGUUGGAAUUUUUGUAAGCUGGUAUGUGAGCUGUUGUUCGCCUCUUUUACGGUUUGAGCUCGAGUUUUGUGAAAAAGAAAAAGGGAAACGCGCUGCCAAGAUAUUUUUUACCUGGUUUUUGCCAUCAGCGAGGUAUAGAGUUCCUACGUUCAUUAUAAACUCGUAGGAACUUCAUACCGUGCUCUUGGAAGACCAAAAAACAACCAAGUGAAUGCAAAAAUCCCAAAAAGUAUGGCGAAAACAAACAAAAAGUGCGUUUUAAAACGAUGAGAAAACGCUGGACAAACGAAAAGGAAGUUGCAAAUGAUGGGAAAGUAAGAGUUACUACUAAAAAUGUUGAUCGAAAUUCAGUAGUGUGUUUGCCCAAGUUUAUUAUAGUAAUUUAUGGCAAGAUCAUAACACAAAGCUGCUCAUUAAGAGCGAAAUGCGAUGAUAUUUGGUUGGUAAGAAGUAAGGCAAUGUUAUCAUUAUUUUUAUUAAAUGUAUAUUUAAAAACUAUCUUUGCAUGAAUAAACUUGAUACUUGAUAGCUAAAAUUACAAAAAAAAAACUUUUAAUAUUCGAUCGUCAUUUUAUGCCUUUUCUAUUGGCGAUAUUAUGCUUUUAACUUAUCCAUUAAUUACAUCAGUUAGUGAAUAGGAAAUUACUUUUAAUAAAAACCGCAGAGUGCGAUUAAAAACGCUAUAAAAACGCGCGCGAAACGCAUACUACACUCCAUGCGUUUGUAGAAAAAAAUGAUCAAAAUAGAAAUAACAUUUAAACCUAACAAAAGUAUUAGAAUUAUGUUAAAACUUUUCCGCUACAAAAAGAACUUGAAAUGCAUCAGAAACUGAUCGAGAUACUGAAAACCAGCUACCGAUAAGAUAUGGAAAGGCAAUUCUGAGUGACUAAUUCCAAGUAAAGGGCGAUUGAGGUGCGGUUAAUCCGAGCCACUUAAAAGCACUUGUCAUAAAUUAACAAACGUUAUUUCUAAUCUAACUAAAUAACAAUUUCAAUUAAUUGCCACGUUAAGAUAAUGUUGGAUUUGUGGAUGCUCUGUCCCGCUCUACAUAUUUACAAACGUAUAGCCAUCUCUUUCACCGGCUAAAUGGCAUCCACUUUGAAUUUGUUAGUUGGUAAAGCAGCUAAUGGCAAUUGUUUUCUUCUUGAUUGGUGGUUUAGUACGGGGAUAACUGUUUAAACGUAAUUUAGUAAUGGAGAUUACUUGGAAAGGGUUUCAAGAAGCAUAUUUAUAGCAUGGCAUUUCUACAUGAAAAGUUUUCUACAAGAAAAGUUUUCUACUUGCUUGAAACGUAAACAUUCCAUACGAUAUUUGUGAAGAAUUUCUCGGACUUGGAUACCAAAAUACCACAAAAACCAUUGUCAAAAAUCAUUAAACACAAUAUGACUGUCGACUGUCUGGACGACAAGAUAUGGAGUACAAACGGACUGAACACAGUCGAUAGGAGAAAUGCAUGCCAUUUUUAUUUCAUUUUAUUGUACUUAUUUUUCGCUAUGCCCGAUAAGCAGCAAAAUAAAAAAUAAUAACGCAAACGGCACACACACAAUUUGCAGUGACACACCAAAGGCCACAAUGAUAAUUUUAUCAACUCGAAAAAAAAAAUGUAUAUGUAUUUAAAACGGAGGGAGAGAGAAAAAUAUAAAAAAUAUAUAUUUGCUUUAUCGUGCAAAAAUGGGAAUGAAACGAGCAAACGGCUUCCUUGUGGCUUUCGCAAUUUUCGCAGCAUAUUUGCCACUGUCAGUUUGGCCAAAAGGAUUGUUGGCCAGGCCAGCAACCAAACGGCAGCAGCAUUGCACCGCUGAUUUCAACGCUUUUAAAUUCCUUCACUUCUGCACUGCUGUUGCAGCAGUUAAUUUAAUUUCAGCUCAUAAAUCAAAACUGUGCCGCGCAACAAAAUGUUUGCUUUUGACGCGCCGUUUUUGUCGCCAGACUACCGACAUCACUGGACAUGGACGUGGGACACUGGACAAGUGGAACGGACAUGCAGGACGGCAGCUGGAGGAUCGGGAGUAGGAGCAUGCCAACAGGAUCUGGAGAGCUGACUAAGUCCGAUUCACAGCCACCUGAUGUUUGGCAAACAGCGACAGAAUGUAGCCGCAAUUGGCUGGGGAAUACUAAUGAGCCAAUUUUCUAGCUGCCACAGCAAAAUAGCGAAAAUUAAUGGCUUUGGUAAAAGUGAUAGGAAACUGUAAAAUUCGAUUAAUUAUAUCAACUAUAAAGGACUAAUACCAGAUAUAGUCAUAGUCUAGAUUAUGAUAUACAUAUAUUGUACUAUUUCUAUAAUAAAUAGAUUAUUUUCAAAAUGUUCAAGCUUAAAAUGUGUUUUGUAGUAC